AAAGCAGACUUAUCUUAUCGACUUGUAAAAGUAGGAAAGUCCGGACACCAAAGAGUAGCAUAGCGGAUAACAUCCGUCCAACGUAAGUUGAGGACCAGUGCAACAGAAAGAAUGUACAGUUAGGCUGUAGUGAAACCAGGUAAACUCUAUGCGGUGCAAUGCCAUGUAUAUUAGAACUUGAGGGCGACUCGCUCGAUUCUAAAGGGUAGGCAGAUGGAUUCUAAGAGUAAUUUUAGAACUAGAUAAAUGAUAAGAACCUUUUUAAAGGAACAGAAUUCGGCUUAUUAGUCUGCUUUUUUC
RNAcentral lists this RNase P RNA (300 nucleotides) under Lutibacter sp. Hel_I_33_5. Its description in RNAcentral is "Bacterial RNase P class A". It matches the Rfam family "Bacterial RNase P class A". Rfam says of the family: Ribonuclease P (RNase P) is a ubiquitous endoribonuclease, found in archaea, bacteria and eukarya as well as chloroplasts and mitochondria. Its best characterised activity is the generation of mature 5'-ends of tRNAs by cleaving the 5'-leader elements of precursor-tRNAs. Lineage: Bacteria; Pseudomonadati; Bacteroidota; Flavobacteriia; Flavobacteriales; Flavobacteriaceae. The record is from Rfam by way of RNAcentral.